RNAcentral lists this ribosomal RNA (325 nucleotides) under uncultured eukaryote. Its description in RNAcentral is "partial 18S ribosomal RNA". It matches the Rfam family "Eukaryotic small subunit ribosomal RNA", at positions 1470 to 1796 of the family's 1831-position model. The record is from RNAcentral.
CCCUUAGAUGUCCUGGGCCGCACGCGCGUUACACUGAUGCAUUCAACGAGCUUAUAACCUUGGCCGAGAGGCCCGGGCAAUCUUGUUAACGUGCAUCGUGAUAGGGAUAGAUUAUUGAAAUUAUUAAUCUUGAACGAGGAAUUCCUAGUAAACGCAGAUCAUCAAUCUGCAUUGAUUACGUCCCUGCCCUUUGUACACACCGCCCGUCGCACCUACCGAUUGAAUGCUCAGGUGAGCCAUUCGGACUUUCAUCAUGCUGGUUUCCAGUUUUGAUGAAGGAAAGUCUUGCGAACCUUAUCAUUUAGAGGAAGGAGAAGUCGUAACA